This 1925-nucleotide long non-coding RNA is filed under the name Rattus norvegicus (Norway rat). RNAcentral's name for it is "long non-coding RNA NONRATT001111". The record is from RNAcentral. Lineage: Eukaryota; Metazoa; Chordata; Mammalia; Rodentia; Muridae.
CUUUUUUUUUUUCAAACCAAAGUGAGCCAUAUUGCUGGGUUUACAUUUCAAUUUUUAACUUUUCAUACGCCAAAAAAGAAAGCACUAUUUUUCUACAAGGAUCAAUAUUUCUAACCGUUUCAACCAUUAUGGCCAGUUUUACGAGGCCCUUGAGCUUGGCAGUGUGUUGAGACUCAUUGCUGCCAGCAAAGUUAAUGAGCUGGGACUAGAGUCACAAAGGAGAGGGUACCGUCAUGUGAUCAAUGCCUUUUGGUUUACUCAUCCAGAUGCCACCUGGUCACAGUGCAUGCUGAGUUUGUUUGUUUCAAAAAUGCAGAUAUGUAAAAACAUAAAGAGGUCAACAGAAGUUAAGCACAGGAGCAAAAUAAACCAAAAGUGGUCAAAGUGCACGGCAGAGUGUCAAUGCUGUCCGUCCUCAGGAUGGGAGAGAGGUACCCUGCUCGUACGUUUUGAAAUCAAAAAGGAGCCUAGAGGCUUUCCCUCUUGCCCACCAAACCAUAGCCAAUGGCAUAGAACUACAGGGUUGCCGUGCGGCAAGCAGAUAGUCUCCUCCCACUAAUGGGUGCUGCAGGGAGAGCCUCUCGGCACUUGACCCUGAAUAGCUAUGUCAGGCUGAUGUAAUGCUGAGGGCAAACUAUUUCAGAUGGCGUCAUUUUCACCAACCCCAGCUGCAGGCUGAGCCAAAGCCCUUCAGGUCCGCCAUGGUUCAGCUUCCUCUCCCCUAGGUUCUUUGAACCGGGUACUUGCCUCUGGGAAGCAUGGCCUUGAUCAGUGCUGGUGGCAUCCUGGUGCUUAGUCACGUGCAUGUUUCCUCAACACAGUCUGAAAACCUUUUCCCAGUGCCCCAGACAAAGAAUAGCAUCUGGUCUUUGGGUGACUCCAAGCCCACGGUGUUUUCCCCUCUGGAAAGAGCCUUCAGCUGUCCCCACCCUGUCUAUGAUGCUUAGCUUCAGAAGCAGGCUGAGCAACUGGAGGGCUACUAAGGGCCUUCUAGGUACUUCUCAUGUCUACAGUCACUGGGUGCAAGACAGCUAUUUAGAGCAUCCACCAGUAGCAUACACUCUCAGGACUAGGAAGGUCUGGUUAAAGACCUUGAAAGCUUUGGCGUAAGCUUUCUGCAGGGAGGGGAAAGAAGGGUGCCUUUCUAGACUCUGCCCUGAAGAUAUGGGAAAGACAGGCAUGGCUAUGGCCAAGUGUGUGGGAACCAGCACCUCUGACCUUGUUGGAACUGUUGCCUGUGUGGUGACGUACACUGUACGUGCCCCGAGUAUAGCUGGGGUGUUAAUGGCCAAGCAUGAUGGGAGGAGCCCUUGAGUCCUAUUAUGUUUCAUUAUGUCACAUGAAUUCUCAAGGUCAUGUUAUAGUGAUUUUUCUCUAGUUCAGGGUGGGCUGGGAUACUUUGUGGAAUGCUCUGGGAAGCCAGAGUGAACUCUCCAAAAACAAAAAAAGAAAAGAAUUCAUUUAUAGCCACACAGAGGCUGUUUUGCAUUACUCUGGUAGACAGGGUGUGUCUACACAGGGCUGAGACAUCUGUAUAUUCUGAGACCUUAACCUUCCUGGUGGGUAACAGCAGGGGCAGGUCCUGGGAGACAGAUACUCUGGAGAUGAAUUUGCUUCGAGGAUGAGUAUGAGAUCCCAGAGAAAACUGGGGACAGAGGGGCUCAUGGGGAGAGAAGGUCCUGGGAACAUUUGCAGACAAGCAUGGAGUUCUGUUUCUAUGCAGACCCUGGGCAUCUACUCUUGGAAAUGACUAGCUGGUCGCCACCAGGAAGGUUGGUCCCUCCUAGGCAGGCAGUCCUUUGUGAGGGACAAUGGUUGCUCUGUUCCUCACCUCCAGUGUUCUUUCCUAUGUGAUUUGGAUUUGUUUUAGGCCCUCGCUAAGUCCUCCUUUCUGUCUUUCUCUUUCCAAUCUCACUUUGCGGCCG